CAGCCCCCAGCAGACUGACUGCAAACCACGGGCAGCAGAGACAAGCCAUCCCAGCCCGGCCUUGCCCAACUCGUCAACCCAGAGAACUGCGAGGCACUGAAGCAUUCUAGUUUGAAGCCACUGUUCCAGAGUGUGUGUUAUGGAGCAAAAGAUAAUCAAGGUCAGCCAGGUGAGGCAGACAUUGUUACCUUCAUUUACCCUUGACAGAGGAAAGCACUGAGGCACGAGAAAGAGAAGGAACUUGACCAAGAUGGCAGAACAAGAGCCACCAGGAUUACCUGCUGUGUAUUAAACUGUUCUUUUGGUGAUUUAAUACUGUGGAGGGAUGGCCUGAACUGAGCUUGAGCCCUGAGAAGUUGGUGCCAGGAGCUCAUUUGAUACAAGAGGCCACUGUGGCUUGGAGAGAGUAGGAGUUGGAAGGCUACCAGGUG
Lontra canadensis (Northern American river otter) is the source of this 431-nucleotide long non-coding RNA. RefSeq lists it as uncharacterized. The record is from RefSeq and is a predicted model, not a curated record. The transcript has 4 exons. Lineage: Eukaryota; Metazoa; Chordata; Mammalia; Carnivora; Mustelidae.